AGUGAACGCUGGCGGUAGGCCUAACACAUGCAAGUCGAACGGCAGCACAGGAGAGCUUGCUCUCUGGGCGGCGAGUGGCGGACGGGUGAGGAAUACAUCGGAAUCUACUCUGUCGUGGGGGAUAACGUAGGGAAACUUACGCUAAUACCGCAUACGACCUACGGGUGAAAGCAGGGGACCUUCGGGCCUUGCGCGAUUGAAUGAGCCGAUGUCGGAUUAGCUAGUUGGCGGGGUAAAGGCCCACCAAGGCGACGAUCCGUAGCUGGUCUGAGAGGAUGAUCAGCCACACUGGAACUGAGACACGGUCCAGACUCCUACGGGAGGCAGCAGUGGGGAAUAUUGGACAAUGGGCGCAAGCCUGAUCCAGCCAUACCGCGUGGGUGAAGAAGGCCUUCGGGUUGUAAAGCCCUUUUGUUGGGAAAGAAAUCCAGCUGGCUAAUACCCGGUUGGGAUGACGGUACCCAAAGAACAAGCACCGGCUAACUUCGUGCCAGCCGCCGCGGUAA
RNAcentral lists this ribosomal RNA (506 nucleotides) under uncultured bacterium. RNAcentral's name for it is "partial 16S ribosomal RNA". It matches the Rfam family "Bacterial small subunit ribosomal RNA", at positions 29 to 523 of the family's 1533-position model. The record is from RNAcentral.